Non-coding RNA from Triticum aestivum (bread wheat), 45 nucleotides. The record is from Rfam. Lineage: Eukaryota; Viridiplantae; Streptophyta; Magnoliopsida; Poales; Poaceae.
UCAAUGAUUUUUUUAAAAAUCACCAAAUUUUGAAAAAAGUUCAUG